Molecule: long non-coding RNA, 4528 nt
Organism: Betta splendens (Siamese fighting fish)
Lineage: Eukaryota; Metazoa; Chordata; Actinopteri; Anabantiformes; Osphronemidae
Exons: 4
Source: RefSeq, a predicted model, not a curated record
AGGUGUCACACAAGCCAAAGCUGCACAACAGGCCCAGGUAAUUCAUUCAAUCCCACCAAAGAAUGAGAAAAGGAGGCAGGGAGGAGAAUUAAACAUCUCAACAUCAAGCUUCAGUCUGAUCAGUAAACUAAGUACCGCCUCCAGCUGAAACUCCUUUCUUUGCGUCUGGCAUUAUGCUGAGGAAUUCCACCCGGCCUGUCCCCUCCCCACUGACACCACAUUCACACACAGGCGCAUCCCGCAUGGAAAAAUGAUCAGCCACGGAGCCGAACGCCGCCAGCCUCGUAAAUAAGACGGAGGCAACGCUUGAGAGGGUGCUCUGACAGGAGGUAUCUGAGCGUCCAGCUCCCUGCAUCCAACCGCAUGGGUAUAAAUCAGAUGUCUGCUGCUGUGGGAACAGGAGCCUGAAGGGUAAAGGAAGGAGAAGCGAGUUUCUGGGAGGUCCUCUGCUCUUUAGCUUUAUUCUCCCCAGGGGAGGAUGUACCGAACUGGGAUGUGUUUUUUUUUUAUUUUCUGGUCUGACAGGCGGUGUCAGAUUAGCACAGCGAUGCUCAUUUACGCCGCAGGGUUGCUAAGCACAACCGCGGACCUCUGCUGCCGGCAUCUUAGCGGCACCACGGGCAGCGCUGGCGGCGUGGAGGAGGGCAGCCGGCGGGAACGGGGACUGACAAAUACGAGCGGCGGCGGCGGCGAGAGGCAUCCUGGUUCCUCACUCGGCAAACGUGCAGAUAACGGAGAAAAGCCCGACGUUUCUGAAGACGUUCGGCGUCGUCCUCGGCCUCGCUUGGCUGCAAUCUUUCCCUGAUUUAUCUCCCUCUUAGCUCCAAUCAGUAACCACACACUGAGUAUUUGUAUUGUUCCGCUUCAGGUGGAACAGAAUUUAAAUCCAAACGACAGGUCGGCUGUAAGUUACAGCAAAUGAAUCCAAAUGCUCGACACAGCUAUACAUUAAAUCUGAACAUGCGGUCGCCCACAAAUUCAAGUGUCCAGGAAGUGAUUGUUUGAGUGUUUGUAGGAGCUUUGCCUGCUGCAACUUCAGUUAGCCUGUAGCCCAUUAGCUAAACAGCUGAAGCCUGGUCUCUUUAAGGCCGCAAGGUUUUUAAUAAACAUCCUCAUCAUUAUCUGCCGCAGUCUAAUUCUGCUUCACAUGCUGGGAAAGUGGAUGUUAAAAGGAACAGACCCUCGUGUGCUGUAACUAAAAGUUCACACACUCAGAGUGUGGAUUUGCGGCUCUCCGCCGAUGCAGAAUGACUGAACCUUAACAGCUGCAUUGUAAUAUAUCUCAGUUUACUGCUGAGCCUCGAGUCUUAGGCCAUUAGCAAACCAUCUGGUACGGCGUGUUCUGAUGACGGUCCAAACCUGAGCGCUCAGCAAGCAUUAAAUCAAGAUGCAUUGCGACACCCCUCCGGUGCGAUACGGCGUUCACACGUUUAAUUUCAGGUACUUAGCUCAGCGCUCGCUUGUGAGGAGGGAAAGGUUCAGAGCCUGAAUGCCAAGAACAUCUAAGUCCCCUUUGUAAUUCAGUUUCUUGUAUAUUUCUUUUGCGCCUGCAUCAUCAGAUGACCUCUGCCGACGCGCUGAACGUCUGUUUUCUGGGGCUCCUGAGUCAAACGACGCAGCGCUCAGCGGCGCGUGACGCCUCGCUAUAAAUUCAGAGCGGACGGAAUGAGAGGAGACGCUCCUCCGACCAGCUCUGCAUCUUUCUCCGUCGGCAAACGCUAAGUAGAUACGAAGUACGAGCAAACAACGCGAUUCCAGAAUUUACUGUCUCGCUGGUUAACACGGUCGAGUUGUUAGGCAAACGGCCGGUCCCCGGGAGGCAGUAAAUAACAGAAAGGCCCUGUGCUUUCUGGGUGCACUGUGCAAUGGAAUAUGUCUCAGCCAGCGUCGUGUGGUCCCUCGACUGGAGCUGAUCUCCUUGUUCCCCCAAAAGACGGCAUCCGAACAUACCGAGGCCCAUGUGCACAUACGAAGAAAUCGCUAAACCACUUGGGGAAUCGGAGCGGCGUUGUCGAACAUGAGAGACAAACAGAGAUACGGGGAGACGCUGGCAGAUUAACCCCCCCCCCCACACACACACACACACACCCCACGCUAUCGCUGAUUCAGUCUGCCUGGCGCUGACGAGGUGGAGGGACAGCCCUUUGAUGCAGCUGAGGAGCAGCUGACGCUGCUACCUGUGACUGUCAUCGCCCUCUCUGAUGUCAGGGGCCUUCGCUGUGCUAAACGAGGCCACAUUUCACCGCCGCACCAGGGGCCCCACACCACAAGCUGCAACACACCUGUGCCUCAAAACAUCACAGGACCCACACACACACACACACACACACACACACACACACACACACACACACACACACACACACACACACACACUCAGACACGCCCGCCGCUCUGCCUCAGAUUCAGACAAAUGAGAACAUUUCGUUUUCACUGAGAGACGUUGUUGCCGAUGAGAGAUGGACCUUGUAUCAGCGGCUGCCUCACAAGGAGACAUUGCUUUGCAUUUUCAUUAGCCUGCGUCUGAAAGGUCCGGACACGGUCGCAGAUGCUGUUGGAGAUAAAACUCCAAGAGCAAUCAAUCAGCGAAAUCAAUGCCGCUUUGAGCUAGAUAGUCAAAUUCAAUACAGACGUACGGAGGCACAAAACUUAGUUUACUAGUGUCAGCAAAUGUAAGAACAUGCUGCUGUAGGAUGGACACAGAUUGAAUAGCACGGCAGGUUAACAUGUAUAGUAUGUGUGGCCUACAGAUCAACUAAGGGGAGCAUUUUUACUUAACAGCUGACCUGAGACACACUUAGAACUUUUUUAUUUUUAAAUCAGACUUUAUUCUUGCUUUUACUGCUGUGAGAUAUUGUAGACAAACAAAAUCCUUCAAAUACAUGUGUGGCCUCUCAUUGUUAAUACUGUACAGUAGAUGCAGUUUUUCUCCUUAAAGUUAUAAUCGGAGACACAUCAUUGCUGCUGUUUGGUUUCAUUGCUCAUAAAUAUGACAACAAAGUGAAGCUAUUUCCAUCCAAAGUGUUCAGACCGUAUGUUAAACAUUUUCCUCCACGGAGCCGCUCCACAAGGUCACGACUUUGCUUAAAUACGGGUCCAAGUGCACAGGCUGCACCACGGCCAACUGAAAACACUAUGUUCUACCCUUCUCAUUGUUUAAUGCAUAUUUUAGCAGUCUUUAUUCUGCCCACUGAAUUAAACCACUCUGGAUUCAAACAUGGAAGACAGUGAACCACACACUGACGUUUAAGGCGUUCGAGUGUAAUUUCCCACAUGCACAUGUAGGCACACUUAGCUUCCUUGGCAGGGCUGCGAGGCUUCUUGCUUGGGUUAAAUGUAACUUCAGAAAGGCCAAGGUGCAAAGGCCCCCCAGUAUCUAGCUCAGCCCACAUUCUCAUUCUCCAUGCAUCAUUACCGCUGGAGAAACCUUGAGCCAAUAAACAGCUCAGUGGCACGGCUCUUAUUUAAAGGCAAGAGGGGAAAUGGAAAAGUAUGCACACACACACACACACACACACACACACACACACACACACACACACACACACACACACACACGCAGCGGCACAAAUGCUCAGACUGCCAGUCUUGUCACACAUACAGUACUUCCCUGUUAAAAAAUGUUAACACACACGUACAGUUUCUCGUCAUUAGAUUGCAAAUGGAUCGCGUUCAGAUCUGAGCUCUUUCAUUAAUAGCUGGACUACACUCGCACAACCAUUAAAGUCCCCCCUCAGGACGUUUCACAUGUAGACGAACAAUUAAAACAAGUAAUCAGAUACAGUACGAGCACAAAUGGCCGGGUUGCGUCUAAAGAUAGAUAUGCCCGUCUUGGUUUUCAACAUCCCAGGACAAUAUUACAAUAUUGCCGAGGAAAAGAAAUGAAGAAUAAAUAAAAGAGGACACUGGCAGCCGCGGAAUAAUCACAGCAUACGUCACUCUAUCCAAUCUACAUAAAUAAACUCUCUCUAGGCGAGAGAGAAGUUAGAGCCCUUAUGGUUAUGGUUAAAAUCAUUUUUCAGAGCGCGGUUCACUGCACUUUGAAGCCUGUUUAUGGCUGCAAGCAUGUUUUACAAUGUUUGAUGAAAUAUUUGGUUUAGUUUGGCUGAGCUACGGCGAGUGACUCAGCGCAGGAUUGAUGCAGAUUAUGUAUCCUAAUGUGACAUUAACCAUUCGUCUCCCGCAGCCGCGACCUCAGCGAGCUUUCCCUAAAGCAUCAUUAAACGAUCUAUUUAUUUAUGCCCGGAGAACUUGUUCUGACCUGCCAUGGGAUAAUUGUUUUAAAAGAUAUGACUCAGGCCGAGGGGCUCGGGGGUGAAAGGGAUGCCGACCUCACCUCGCGCGGGUCUGAGCACACGAUAAAGAACUGUAAACACGGCAUCGUCAUUCACGGUCCAAAAUACGCAGGCUUCAAAAUAUUAGUGUUUCAGUGGUGCUUUUGUACGAUGUCACAAUCAACGAUUAAGUCAUGGGAGAGGAAAAAUUCUCAUUCUGAUAAAGAAUAAAUGAGCUUUGAGCGGUUCAGUGA